CCUACGGGAGGCUGCAGUGGGGAAUAUUGCACAAUGGGCGCAAGCCUGAUGCAGCCAUGCCGCGUGUGUGAAGAAGGCCUUCGGGUUGUAAAGCACUUUCAGCGGGGAGGAAGGCGGUGAGGUUAAUAACCUCAUCGAUUGACGUUACCCGCAGAAGAAGCACCGGCUAACUCCGUGCCAGCAGCCGCGGUAAUACGGAGGGUGCAAGCGUUAAUCGGAAUUACUGGGCGUAAAGCGCACGCAGGCGGUCUGUCAAGUCGGAUGUGAAAUCCCCGGGCUCAACCUGGGAACUGCAUUCGAAACUGGCAGGCUAGAGUCUUGUAGAGGGGAGUAGAAUUCCAGGUGUAGCGGUGAAAUGCGUAGAGAUCUGGAGGAAUACCGGUGGCGAAGGCGGCCCCCUGGACAAAGACUGACGCUCAGGUGCGAAAGCGUGGGGAGCAAACAGGAUUAGAUACCCGGGUAGUC
This 465-nucleotide ribosomal RNA is filed under the name uncultured Klebsiella sp. RNAcentral's name for it is "bacterial SSU rRNA". It matches the Rfam family "Bacterial small subunit ribosomal RNA", at positions 338 to 795 of the family's 1533-position model. Lineage: Bacteria; Pseudomonadati; Pseudomonadota; Gammaproteobacteria; Enterobacterales; Enterobacteriaceae. The record is from RNAcentral.